GGCGGUGGUGGCGGGUUGUGAGCACGCAUGCGCGGUGGAUGCUGAGCAGGGCGCGGGGUGGCCGCGAGGAAGGGGUGCGGGCGGCGGGAAGCGGAGUCUAUGGGCGCUGUGAGAGCGAGGUGAAGACGAAGCUCUGCCUUCAGUCCUCCGGCGUCGUUCGGGGGCAGGCGGGCUGGAACUGAGGGGGGAGCGUAGCGCCUCGUGGCUUGAGCGCUGCGGGCGGCGCUCGGUCCUGUCCGUGUGGGAAGGAGCGGUUACAGCUGAAUAGUCUUCUGCUACGGGGAGCGGCGUUGGAAAAAUACAGCUACUAAAGCAGCCGGCUUGCCCCGAGGACUAAAUUCGAUAGCUAAGCGCUUGGGUUCACGUCAGAUUGCGUUUGGCUGCAGGCCGCGUGCCUGGCGUCGCCCCAGAGGUGUGAGCAGCAAAAGCUUCAUCCCAAAUCGCCACAGGGAAUGAGGGCAGCGGUUGUUUGGGAAAAAAUCACCAAGUGACUAAGCUAAUCGCGUGAUUUUGACAAGGCUGAGUCAUAAGUGAAUGCUGGGUUCCCCCCCAGGCAAGAAUCUGUCAAAAUUUAUCGCUAAUUUACUAACUUUUCUCCUGGAGUCCUGCAAAAGUCCACUGCAGUGUUGGAAAAAGCUUAACGGGGCUGAAAGCUGGAGGGGGUAAAACUGUGGCUUUGGCUGAGGUUGACCAGAAAUGCAAAGGAAACAUCACCCCCUCUUUAUUCAAUAAGGACAAAUUUGUCUCUCGUUUUGUGAAGCACGGCGCUAAGUGUGCUUGAGACAGGAAUGGGAAGGAACCACGCUCAAUGAUUUUCUGUAUCGGUUUCUGUCCUUUUUCUUGACACGCCCUGCUACCACUCCCUUUCUUUUGUUUCUAGCAAGUGUUGCUUUUCUGUCCUAAGGCAGAGAACCAGCAGUGAAAAUGGCUGUUUAAUAUUAAAAGGGAGAAACAAGAAAGGGAGACGAACAUACAAACAUGCACGGUUUUUUGCAUGCAGCAUUUCCAACAUCUGUAACCCUCCCAGGAGUCUAAUUUACAAGGAGUGGAGUUGCCAGAAAGGAAACCUUCAGAAAGGAGCUGAAGUUGGUUUAUGCACAAACCUGCACUGCAGAGACAGCAUCAUCACCUGGACAAGGCCUGUGUCUGCCCUGACUUUGGAGACAAACCAAAGCUGCAGCAGCUCCCUGACGUGCUGAUGCCGAGAUGCACGCGUGGUGGAAGUGUGGGAAGAGAGAAACGGAGGGUUUUGGUUGAUGUUCUGUGUCAGGAUUACCAAACCCCAAUUCAUCAUCCUGGUUGGUCUGCUGUUUGUCAGAAGGCAAAUCUGGCCCCUGCUCACACUGGCUACUGGCCAUGACCACUGCCAGCUCCAUUCAAA
Long non-coding RNA from Lagopus muta (rock ptarmigan), 1381 nucleotides. RefSeq lists it as uncharacterized. The transcript is spliced from 4 exons. NCBI's taxonomy places the organism in Eukaryota, Metazoa, Chordata, Aves, Galliformes, Phasianidae. The record is from RefSeq and is a predicted model, not a curated record.